AUUGAACGCUGGCGGCAUGCUUUACACAUGCAAGUCGAGCGGCAGCGCGGGGGCAACCCUGGCGGCGAGCGGCGAACGGGUGAGGAAUACAUCGGAACGUACCCCGGAGUGGGGGAUAACGCCGCGAAAGCGGCGCUAAUACCGCAUAUGCUCUGAGGAGGAAAGUGGGGGACCUGCAAGGGCCUCACGCUCUGGGAGCGGCCGAUGUCCGAUUAGCUAGUUGGUGGGGUAAGGCCCACCAAGGCGACGAUCGGUAGCUGGUCUGAGAGGAUGAUCAGCCACACUGGGACUGAGACACGGCCCAGAC
Molecule: ribosomal RNA, 307 nt
Filed under: uncultured bacterium
Lineage: Bacteria
Description: bacterial SSU rRNA
Rfam family: Bacterial small subunit ribosomal RNA
Source: RNAcentral